ACCAUUUUCUCUAUUCUUUUUCUAAAAGUUAAGACUUCUAACUAAUUAAAAUAUUUCUUUAUUCACAUUAGAAGAAUGUAUGAUGAUCACGAAAGAGUUGCUAGAGGAGAAAGAAAAAGCUCAAAUGUAUGUUUAAAGUCAUCCAUUGUUGUUCCAUCUAUUUAGAAUUGUGUAAGUUAGGUAUGAAAAAAUCCUAUAUAUGGAGUAUCACCAACGAAUGAGCUCCUCGCGGCUCACGGCUAAAUUUCGAUCUCCGAUUAAAAUAAAAGAAAUUGAUGUAGGCUUACAACAAUAUCAGAAUUUUCGAACAUUUAUAGUUUCAAGCUAUGAAUUUGAGAUUAUCUUUAUGAGUUAGUUUUUAGAUAAAUUUGAUGUUUUUUCCUUUCAAUAUUUAAUAGUGACUCAGUUUUGAUGAUAUUAUUUUUCUAAAAAGUAGAACUUCUAACUAAUUAACAUAUUUGAUUAUCCAUAUUAAAAGAGCGUAUGAUGGCCAUGAAGAAGUUGUUGAAGGAGAAAGCAGGUUUGGAGACUAAUUAACGUUACAAAAGGAGAAAAAAAAGUUGAGGAUUUUUUUUAAAGUUAAGGUAUAUAUUCAAAGUACUUGAUGAAGAUCUUAAUCUUAAUCACUUAGAGUUUAUUUAUUAUAUUUUAUUAUCUUUUGGAUAGAGAUUUUUGGAGGAGAAAAAGAUUGUGAAUUAGAUUUUUGUAGAUCUGAAUCUUUUGUUUUUUAAAAUUUUCUAAGGUAUGUAAACAGAGAAUUUGAUGAAGG
Molecule: long non-coding RNA, 769 nt
Filed under: Capsicum annuum
Lineage: Eukaryota; Viridiplantae; Streptophyta; Magnoliopsida; Solanales; Solanaceae
Description: long non-coding RNA (CANN_LNC017012)
Source: RNAcentral